This 465-nucleotide ribosomal RNA is filed under the name Vreelandella stevensii. RNAcentral's name for it is "partial 16S ribosomal RNA". It matches the Rfam family "Bacterial small subunit ribosomal RNA", at positions 338 to 795 of the family's 1533-position model. Lineage: Bacteria; Pseudomonadati; Pseudomonadota; Gammaproteobacteria; Oceanospirillales; Halomonadaceae. The record is from RNAcentral.
CCUACGGGAGGCAGCAGUGGGGAAUAUUGGACAAUGGGCGAAAGCCUGAUCCAGCCAUGCCGCGUGUGUGAAGAAGGCCUUCGGGUUGUAAAGCACAUUCAGUGGGGAAGAAAGCCUUGGGGCUAAUACCCUCGAGGAAGGACAUCACCCACAGAAGAAGCACCGGCUAACUCCGUGCCAGCAGCCGCGGUAAUACGGAGGGUGCGAGCGUUAAUCGGAAUUACUGGGCGUAAAGCGCGCGUAGGCGGUCUGAUAAGCCGGUUGUGAAAGCCCCGGGCUCAACCUGGGAACGGCAUCCGGAACUGUCAGGCUAGAGUGCAGGAGAGGAAGGUAGAAUUCCCGGUGUAGCGGUGAAAUGCGUAGAGAUCGGGAGGAAUACCAGUGGCGAAGGCGGCCUUCUGGACUGACACUGACGCUGAGGUGCGAAAGCGUGGGUAGCAAACAGGAUUAGAUACCCCAGUAGUC